UUUUAAAAGAGUUUAAAAAAAGUUAGAUAGUAAUACUGAUUUUUACUGUCACUUUGAUACUUUAGUUCUAUUUUUAAGUCAAAGCAAUCCAUGACGAUUUGAUUCAACCAUCAAGUCAAUAUGCCUAAUAUCUGAACUUAUCAAAAUCAGUUGCUUCGAAAACAUUACACACACAACACCUGAACUGGUAACGGAGAUGCCAGUUAAGAAAUAAAUAAAAAAAUUAUUAUUUAGUGUAUUUUGUGUGUCCUUUUAGGGACAAAUCGUUCAAUUGUUAUGCAUCCAAACAGAGGGAAUCCGCCACAUGGCAAUGAAGCAAGCGGCAAUUCGGGUCAUCCAUUCCAGCCACCGAUAUACCAUCCGUAUUAUGGAACACAUUUGAAUCAAGUUCCAUGCCUGCGUGGAACAGAUGGACAUGUCGCUGCUCCUCCUCCAAGACCAGCCAGAAAUAAUUGUCCCAAUGGAAUUUGCUAUCAACCCGGCUACAAUUGUAUCGAUGGCAAUUGCACUAGAGUUAAUCAGGGUCACUCGACGAGGCCACCGACACCAGCAUCUCCGCCACCGGGUUCAAUGGCCGGAACUCCACCGGCGUCUCAAGCGGCAGCCCCUACAAACUACAAGCAUUGGCGUCCUUAGAAACCGACAUUUCUUGUAAAGAGACCUUGGAAUACUUUCUUAAAGCAGAAGGUUUCCAACAUCUUUGCAAGCAAAUCCCCUACACAUUAAUUUUCUUUAGACAAAACAGAAUCAACCAAACCAAAAACAACUGAACGAGAACCAAAUACAGAAAUUUACGUGAAUUUA
Drosophila willistoni is the source of this 804-nucleotide long non-coding RNA. RefSeq lists it as uncharacterized. NCBI's taxonomy places the organism in Eukaryota, Metazoa, Arthropoda, Insecta, Diptera, Drosophilidae. The record is from RefSeq and is a predicted model, not a curated record. The transcript has 2 exons.